This 65-nucleotide transfer RNA is filed under the name Pedetontus zhejiangensis. RNAcentral's name for it is "tRNA-Glu". Lineage: Eukaryota; Metazoa; Arthropoda; Insecta; Archaeognatha; Machilidae. RNAcentral also lists the same sequence under 1 other name. The record is from RNAcentral.
AUUUAUGUAGUGUAUAUAAACACAUUACUUUUUCAUAGUAAAGAAAGAAAUAAUUCUCUUAAGUC